UCACACUGGGUAGCUCAGUUGGUUAAAGUGUGGGGCUGACAACGCCAAGGUUGCAGGUUCGAUCCUGUCCUGUAAG
This is a non-coding RNA of Podarcis lilfordi (Lilford's wall lizard), 76 nucleotides long. Lineage: Eukaryota; Metazoa; Chordata; Lepidosauria; Squamata; Lacertidae. The record is from the annotation of a GenBank genome assembly.